GAGUUUGAUCUUGGCUCAGGACGAACGCUGGCGGCGUGCUUAACACAUGCAAGUCAAGGGGGCCCAGCAAUGGGCAACCGGCGAACGGGUGCGUAACACGUGAGCAACCUACCGAGAUAUGGGGGAUAGCCGGCCUAACGGCCGAGUAAUACCGCAUACGCUCUCGAUGAGGCAUUUCAUUGAGAGGAAACCUACGGGGUAUUUCGAGGGGCUCGCGGCCUAUCAGCUAGUUGGCGAGGUAACGGCUCACCAAGGCAACGACGGGUAGCUGGUCUGAGAGGAUGGCCAGCCACAUUGGGACUGAGAUACGGCCCAGACCCCUACGGGAGGCAGCAGUGGGGAAUCUUGCGCAAUGGCCUAACGGCUGACGCAGCGACGCCGCGUGUGGGAUGAAGCUCUUCGGAGUGUAAACCACUGUUGCCCGGGACGAAUAGCUCGAUUAAUCGAGCCUAACAGUACCGGGUGAGGAAGCACCGGCUAACUCCGUGACAGCCGCCGCAGUAAC
RNAcentral lists this ribosomal RNA (505 nucleotides) under uncultured bacterium. RNAcentral's name for it is "bacterial SSU rRNA". It matches the Rfam family "Bacterial small subunit ribosomal RNA", at positions 9 to 524 of the family's 1533-position model. The record is from RNAcentral.